CUGAUCAACGCUAAUCGGAUCAGGGUUAGUCGGGUCCUAAGGCUCAGCCGAACGGCGAGGCCGAUGGCAGAACCGGUUAAUAUUCCGGUACUACCUCAAGGAGUGACGUGGAGACGGAGCAGUGACAGUGCCGCGGACUGACGGAAUAGUCCGUUAAAGGGUGUAGAUGUUGAUUCCUGCAGGCAAAUCCGCAGGAAGAGUCGAACCUGAUAGUAUGGAGCGUCCUUCGGGACAAUCCAAUAGUGCACGUAAGCAUACUCCCGAGAAAAUCCGCUAAACUUAAUCCUUGUGGUACCCGUACCGCAAACGGACACACGUAGUCGGGUUGAAUAUACUAAGGCGCUUGAGUGAUUCACGGUUAAGGAACUAGGCAAACUGACCCUGUAACUUCGGGAUAAAGGGUCCUCAGGGUGACUUGAGGCGCAGAGAAUCGGUCCAGGCAACUGUUUAACAAAAACACAGGGCUGUGCAAAAUAGAAAUAUGAAGUAUACAGCCUGACACCUGCCCGGUGCUGGAAGGUUAAGAGGAGAUGUCAUCGCAAGAGAAGCAUUGAAUUGAAGCCCCAGUAAACGGCGGCCGUAACUAUAACGGUCCUAAGGUAGCGAAAUUCCUUGUCGGGUAAGUUCCGACCUGCACGAAUGGUGUAAUGAUCUGGACGCUGUCUCAACCGUGAGCUCAGUGAAAUUGUAGUAUCGGUGAAGAUGCCGAUUACCCGCGAUGGGACGAAAAGACCCCGUGAACCUUUACUAUAGCUUAACAUUGAAUUUGGGUAAUUGAUGUGUAGGAUAGGCCGGAGGCUUCGAAGCAGGUACGCCAGUAUUUGUGGAGCCGCUGUUGAAAUACGGCCCUUUGAUUAUUUGAGUUCUAACCCGCGGCUGCGGGGACACUGUUUGGUGGGUAGUUUGACUGGGGUGGUCGCCUCCAAAAGCGUAACGGAGGCUUCUAAAGGUGCCCUCACGACGAUUGGUAACCGUCGGCAGAGUGUAAUGGCAUAAGGGCGCUUGACUGGGAGACUAACAAGUCGAUCAGGUAGGAAACUAGAGCAUAGUGAUCCGGUGUUUCUGUAUGGAAAGGACAUCGCUCAAAGGAUAAAAGGUACUCCGGGGAUAACAGGCUGAUCCCUCCCA
This 1128-nucleotide ribosomal RNA is filed under the name metagenome. RNAcentral's name for it is "bacterial LSU rRNA". It matches the Rfam family "Bacterial large subunit ribosomal RNA", at positions 1355 to 2494 of the family's 2925-position model. The record is from RNAcentral.